CAAGAGCAGAAUGAAGGAGAACAGGGAGAGAUGAAGGAGAUCCUUUGCAAGAAGCAUAUUCUCAUGGGAGGUGUCAUCGCAGCUGAAAACAGUGGACGGAGACUCUGCAAAUGUGUAAACUGACUGAUUCCAAACUGCUGCUCUUUCUUCUGCACCACACUGUGCCCAUGUGGUUCUGGGGAUGAAGCAUGCACCGAGGUGGCUACCCUUGGAGAGUCCUUUCUGGUCUCAGAGCUGACAUAAGAAUGAAGCAGCCUUACAAGUGUGAGUUCCCGGUGCCAGGGCCUUGAAAGAAUUGCACAACUUUUUGGCAGCCCCAAGAAGCCCUGAAAUAAAGCUGGGGACCCAAGCAGACUUCGUGGGCAUCCUGGUGGCAACAGCAUUCACCACAUAAAACAAUGAAGCCACAAAGACUCAGGAAGCCACCCAGAGGAGCAGCUUUGGCUGGACAAUGUUUCCAAGCAAGAGAGAGAAAACAGUCACAAAAGAAAGUGGGUUUUCGUGAUGAGCAAAGCUUCUUUCAGGCAAACUAGAUCUUGAAAGUAUCCUUUCCUCCACAUGAAGUGCUGUGAGCCUGUGAGCACUCUCCCACUACAGCAGCGGGAAGCAGUAGGUCUUGGAGGAGGUUGGGAACAGGGGGUUUUGGACACAGACUAGAUGCAGGCUCAAGUCUCAGCUCUGCCAUUUCCUAACUCUGUGACAGGGGUGUCCAAUCUUUUGGCUUCCCUGGGCCACCUUGGAAGAAGAAGAAUUGUUUAGGGCCACACAUAACAUAUACUAACGAUAGCUGAUGAGCUAAAAAAAACAAAAUCGCAAAAUAAUCUCAUAAUGUCUUAAAGUUUACGAAUUUGUGUUGGGCUGCAUUCAAAGUCAUCCUGGGCUGCUGGUUAGACAAACUUGCUCUGAGGCAGACUAGGUUAUCUGUCAGCCUCUGUUUCAUCAUCUAUAAAAUGGAAACUGUUGGAUUUAUGUCACAGGACUGUUAUAACAGUUAAAUGAGGCCAUGUUUGUAUGCAGCAUAAGAGGCGUGCAAAGUGCUUGAUACAUAGUAAGCACUUAAUAGAUAGCAGCUGCUUUUUAGACCUCAUGGUGCUCCCUGCCGGAUUCUUCCUUCUGCUAAACACUGGACGAGCGGCUCCCUCUGAGAUGCUCUGCCCCAGGUAGCCCCAAGGCUUGCACCCUCUGAAGUCAGGACUCUCUGGUCAAAGGUUGGCUCUCCAGAGACUGCCCCUGACCGCCUGACCCAGAGCAGCUCCCAUCCUUCUACCCCACUCUGCAUGUUGGUGUCUCUCACUAUGGGAAGCUGUGCUGUAGAUUACUGUGUUUAUUUGUUUAUUGUCUAUCUCCUUCCCCUAGAACAGCAGUCACCAUUCUUUUUGGCACCAGUAACUGGUUUUGUGGCAGACAAUUUUUCUAUGGACCC
Rhinopithecus roxellana (golden snub-nosed monkey) is the source of this 1423-nucleotide long non-coding RNA. RefSeq lists it as uncharacterized. The transcript is spliced from 3 exons. The record is from RefSeq and is a predicted model, not a curated record. Lineage: Eukaryota; Metazoa; Chordata; Mammalia; Primates; Cercopithecidae.